Selaginella moellendorffii is the source of this 137-nucleotide non-coding RNA. Lineage: Eukaryota; Viridiplantae; Streptophyta; Lycopodiopsida; Selaginellales; Selaginellaceae. The record is from Rfam.
GAAAGGGCCCAUGAACAAGAGUGCACCCCCUUUUCCAAUCGGUUAAGGGUCUUGGGAUAGUUGGAGUUAAGCGUCCUUGGGUUUGAAUAGUACUGGGCUGGGUGACCUCCCGGGAAGUCCAAACUCAGGCGUUUACA